Molecule: ribosomal RNA, 276 nt
Filed under: Planctomycetota bacterium
Lineage: Bacteria; Pseudomonadati; Planctomycetota
Description: Planctomycetes bacterium (activated sludge metagenome) partial 23S ribosomal RNA
Rfam family: Bacterial large subunit ribosomal RNA
Source: RNAcentral
CUAUCUGUCGUGGGUGUAGAAGAGUUGAGGAGCUUUGUUCUUAGUACGAGAGGAUUAGAAUGAACGUACCUCUGGUGUUCCUGUUGUCGCGCUAGCGGCAGUGCAGGGUAGCUAAGUACGGAUCGGAUAAGCGCUGAAGGCAUCUAAGUGCGAAGCCGACUCCAAAACGAACUCUUCCUUGAGACACCUCAGAGACUAUGAGGUUGAUAGGCCGGAGGUGUAAGCACGGUAACGUGUUCAGCUGACCGGUACUAACCAGUCGAUCGGCUUGACCUC